GACGAACGCUGGCGGCGUGCUUAACACAUGCAAGUCGAACGGACAGGCCCUGCUUUUGUUGGGUGCUCGAUUGGCGAACGGGUGAGUAACACGUGAGUAACCUGCCCUUGACUUUGGGAUAACUUCAGGAAACUGCGGCUAAUACCGGAUAGGAUCUCCUGCUGCAUGGUGGUGGUUGGAGAGUUUCGGCGGUUGGGGAUGGACUCGCGGCUUAUCAGCUUGUUGGUGGGGUAGUGGCUUACCAAGGCUUUGACGGCUAGCCGGCCUGAGAGGGUGACCGGCGACAUUGGGACUGAGGUACGGCCCAGACUCCUACGGGAGGCAGCAGUGGGGAACAUUGCACAAUGGGCGGAAGCCUGAUGCAGCAACGCCGCGUGCGGGAUGACGGCCUUCGGGGUGUAAACCGCUUUCGCAUGUGACGAAGCGUGAGUGACGGUAAUGGGUAAAGAAGCACCGGCUAACUACGUG
RNAcentral lists this ribosomal RNA (468 nucleotides) under uncultured bacterium. RNAcentral describes it as "partial 16S ribosomal RNA". It matches the Rfam family "Bacterial small subunit ribosomal RNA", at positions 28 to 507 of the family's 1533-position model. The record is from RNAcentral.